Molecule: ribosomal RNA, 253 nt
Filed under: uncultured bacterium
Lineage: Bacteria
Description: partial 16S ribosomal RNA
Rfam family: Bacterial small subunit ribosomal RNA
Source: RNAcentral
UACGUAGGGGGCAAGCGUUGUCCGGAUUUACUGGGCGUAAAGCGCACGCAGGCGGUUUGGCGCGUGGGGUGUGAAAUCCGGCCGCUUAACGGCCAGGCGCCAUCCCAUACGGCCGGACUGGAGCCUUGCAGAGGUCGGUGGAAUUGCCGGUGUAGUGGUGAAAUGCGUAGAGAUCGGCAGGAACACCCAGGGGGAAGCCAGCCGACUGGGCAAGUGCUGACGCUGAGGUGCGAAAGCGUGGGGAGCGAACCGG